UACGUAUGGUGCAAGCGUUAUCCGGAUUUACUGGGUGUAAAGGGAGCGUAGACGGCUGUGUAAGUCUGAUGUGAAAACCCGGGGCUCAACCCCGGGACUGCAUUGGAAACUAUGCAGCUAGAGUGUCGGAGAGGUAAGCGGAAUUCCUAGUGUAGCGGUGAAAUGCGUAGAUAUUAGGAGGAACACCAGUGGCGAAGGCGGCUUACUGGACGAUAACUGACGUUGAGGCUCGAAAGCGUGGGGAGCAAACAGG
Molecule: ribosomal RNA, 253 nt
Filed under: uncultured bacterium
Lineage: Bacteria
Description: partial 16S ribosomal RNA
Rfam family: Bacterial small subunit ribosomal RNA
Source: RNAcentral